Molecule: ribosomal RNA, 248 nt
Filed under: uncultured bacterium
Lineage: Bacteria
Description: partial 16S ribosomal RNA
Rfam family: Bacterial small subunit ribosomal RNA
Source: RNAcentral
ACGCGUAGGUAACCUGCCUUGUAGCGGGGGAUAACUAUUGGAAACGAUAGCUAAUACCGCAUAACAAUGGAUGACACAUGUCAUUUAUUUGAAAAGGGGCAAAUGCUCCACUACAAGAUGGACCUGCGUUGUAUUAGCUAGUAGGUGAGGUAACGGCUCACCUAGGCGACGAUACAUAGCCGACCUGAGAGGGUGAUCGGCCACACUGGGACUGAGACACGGCCCAGACUCCUACGGGAGGCAGCAUG